This is a non-coding RNA of Zalophus californianus (California sea lion), 447 nucleotides long. Lineage: Eukaryota; Metazoa; Chordata; Mammalia; Carnivora; Otariidae. The record is from the annotation of a RefSeq genome assembly.
AUGGCCUGGAGCCCCGUCCUCCUUGCACGCCUCUGUCACUGCACAGGCUCCCAGUCCCAGCUCCUGCGGACACGGCCGCCCUCCCUCUGGGCGUCUCCGGGAACGACGGCCAGACUCACCUGCACCCUGAGCAGGGACAGCGGUGUGGGCGGCUCUAACAUCGACUGGAUCCAGCAGCGGCCAGGGAGCCCUCCCCGGUGUCUGCCGAGGUUCUCCUCAGACUCCGAGAAGCACCAGGGCUCCGGGGUCCCCGGCCGCUUCUCGGGCUGCAAAGACGCCUCGGCCAAGGCGGGGCUUCUGCGCAUCUCGGGGCUGCAGGCCGAGGCCGAGGCGGACUCUCCCUGGGCUACAGCUCACGGCAGUGGGCGCAGCUACCGCUCCUCACAGCCUCUCAGAGAAGGAGGAGGUGAGACGAAAACCAGAGAUCUUGUCUCUGAGCCUCUUUGA